GAGUUUGAUCCUGGCUCAGGAUAAACGCUGGCGGCGCACAUAAGACAUGCAAGUCGAACGGACUUAACUCAUUCUUUUAGAUUGAGAGCGGUUAGUGGCGGACUGGUGAGUAACACGUAAGCAACCUGCCUAUCAGAGGGGAAUAACAGUGAGAAAUCAUUGCUAAUACCGCAUAAGCUAGUAGUAUCGCAUGAUAUAGCUAGAAAAGGAGCAAUCCGCUGAUAGAUGGGCUUGCGUCUGAUUAGCUAGUUGGUGGGGUAACGGCCUACCAAGGCGACGAUCAGUAGCCGGACUGAGAGGUUGAACGGCCACAUUGGGACUGAGAUACGGCCCAGACUCCUACGGGAGGCAGCAGUCGGGAAUAUUGCGCAAUGGAGGAAACUCUGACGCAGUGACGCCGCGUAUAGGAAGAAGGUUUUCGGAUUGUAAACUAUUGUCGUGAGGGAAGAAAUUGACAGUACCUCAGGAGGAAGCUCCGGCUAACUAUGUGCCAGCAGCCGCGGUAAUACAUAGGGAGCAAGCGUUAUCCGGAUUUAUUGGGUGUAAAGGGUGCGUAGACGGGAAAUUAAGUUAGUUGUGAAAUCCCUCGGCUUAACUGAGGAACUGCAACUAAAACUGAUUUUCUUGAGUACUGGAGAGGAAAGUGGAAUUCCUAGUGUAGCGGUGAAAUGCGUAGAUAUUAG
This 683-nucleotide ribosomal RNA is filed under the name uncultured bacterium. RNAcentral's name for it is "bacterial SSU rRNA". It matches the Rfam family "Bacterial small subunit ribosomal RNA", at positions 9 to 700 of the family's 1533-position model. The record is from RNAcentral.